Molecule: ribosomal RNA, 775 nt
Filed under: uncultured Neocallimastigales
Lineage: Eukaryota; Fungi; Neocallimastigomycota; Neocallimastigomycetes; Neocallimastigales
Description: partial large subunit ribosomal RNA
Rfam family: Eukaryotic large subunit ribosomal RNA
Source: RNAcentral
AGAGAGAGACAUGCGCGCAUAUCAAUAAGCGGAGGAAAAGAAACUAACAAGGAUUCCCCUAGUAACGGCGAGUGAAGCGGGAAGAGCUCAAAUUUGAAAUCUUAAAGGGUUUCCCUUUACGAAUUGUAGUUUAAAGAAGUGUUUUCUGUUGAGGUUUUGGUAAAAGGUUCUUUGGAAUAGGACAUCAUAGAGGGUGAGAAUCCCGUAUUUGACCUUUACUUUCAACUUUGUGAUACACUUUCAAAGAGUCGGAUUGUUUGGGAAUGCAGUCCAAAAUGGGUGGUAAAUUUCAUCUAAAGCUAAAUAUUGGCGAGAGACCGAUAGCGAACAAGUACCGUGAGGGAAAGAUGAAAAGAACUUUGAAAAGAGAGUUAAACAGUACGUGAAAUUGUCAAAAGGGAAGCGUUUGACACCAGUGUUGUUUUUCUGAAAAUCAAUUAAAGAACUGUUUAUGCUAAGCUUGUUUAGACUUUAUCAGCUAUCUGUUUAGUUUUGAGCUUUUCUUUAAUGCACUUUUCAGUUAACAAGUCAACAUCAAUUUCUUUUGCUGUAAAAAAGCUUGAGGAAGGUGGCUUGAGAUUCGUCUUAAGUGUUUAUAGCCUCUUGCCUAUGCAGUCGGAGAGAUUGAGGUCUGCAGCGUAGAUCCUUCGGGGCUAAAUGCAUUUGUGCUAAGUUAUAGCAUUUUAUAGACAACUUGUUGACUAUGAUUUGUCUUGUAGCUUACUCGCUUAUGUUAUUUUACCUACGCUUAGGAUGUUGACGCAUGAGAUAUACG